This is a long non-coding RNA of Coregonus clupeaformis (lake whitefish), 712 nucleotides long. RefSeq lists it as uncharacterized. The record is from RefSeq and is a predicted model, not a curated record. NCBI's taxonomy places the organism in Eukaryota, Metazoa, Chordata, Actinopteri, Salmoniformes, Salmonidae. The transcript is spliced from 3 exons.
UCCUGAUCUCUGUGCUGUGGAAGGAUCUGCCAGGGAGCCUCAAUGCAGCUGUGUACUCUCAGAGGACCAACAAGUCCUACUUCCUGAAAGGAGACAAAGUGUGGAGGUAUACCAGAUUCAAACUCGACAUUGGCUUUCCGAAACACUUGGCCAGCAUUCCCUCUAAUGUCGAUUCAGCCUUGUACUUCAACCGGAACAACAAAGUGAUCUUCUUCAAGGGUUCUCAGUAUUGGCAGUGGGAUGAAGCUGGGGCAACGGACUCCAGCACGUAUCCCAAACCGAUAUCACAUCUCUUCUCUGGGGUACCCUACAGCCCAGAUGCAGCCUUCACAUGGACAAACGGCCAUAUAUACAUUUUUAAAGGGAACCAGUACUGGCGCAUCAACAAUAAACAAGUUGUGGAUAAGGGCUACCCUCUCAUAACAAGUGAAAAAUGGAUGCAAUGUGAUAAUUAGGCCAUUGGAGGUCAGUGAUGUUUUAUUUCAGAAUCACCUUUAUUCACCAAGUACAUUUACACAUACAUAUAAUUAUUUGCCUUAGUGAGAAGGUGCUGCCAGCAAUAGAUAAUAUACAAACAGAAUACAGACAAGUCCACAUAGACAGAAUAUACAAUAUCGGAACAGUAAACAUAAAACUCUGGAGCAGUGGCGACCCGUCAUUCAGGGCAGGUGGGGCACACGUUUGUUUUUGGUUGUCUGUUUUGCAUGUUAUU